CAACAGCUUCCCUAAAGUGGAAAUCAAAUAAUAUGCAAAACAAAAGGCCUGUGUAGCUGCUUGACACAUAAGGACCUGCACUUUUUCAGUUUUUGGAAAGGCACGGACAAUUUCAAAAUCCCUGCCAAAUAUAUUAGAGGUCAUUCACAAGUAUGCUGAACCCGGGACCAGUCUAAAGACCUACAGUAUUCACAAAGUGCAUGGCUUUUGGGAAAAUGUCUCAAGAGAUUUGGGAGUGCCUAAUACAUGUCUUAAUAGGAAAAAAAUUCUCAAAGCAGUCCUGCAGUAUGAAAAGACCACAUCAGGGGUAGAGGGUCCCUUACUACAGACUGAUUUUCCUACUGCAGAGACAACACUUGGAGAUGAUGUUCCUUCCAUUAAUGAGGAAGACGUUGUUGCGCCAAAGUCUCCACAAUCUGUAGGAAAUGUACCUUUACCUUCAAGAAAAGAGGAUGCACUUCAAAAAACUGCAGAGAGCGGCAUCCAUACCCCAGACACACAAUCCCUCGAGAGUGACUCUAAAUCUUCAUCUUCAAAUGCAAAUGCUAAGAGGAAUGAAUCAGAUGAAUCAGCUAAGGUCAACACAGACAGUAGCAGUUCAGGAGAAAGAUUUUUCACAUCUGGUUUGCCACAGCAGAAAACUUUCUUUUUCAUAAAUGAGAAUGAAUGGAAGGAGUUACGGCAACAUCAGUCAGGAAGACUAUUUAAAGGACUGCAGUGGACAAAUAUAAUUGCCAGUGGAAUCAGAACCCUUAAUCCGUACUGCAGUUUUGGAUUUCGGAGACACAGUGUGAAAAAACUCUCUUCAAGAUCAAAGGCACCGGUUUUCAGGUGUAUGGGGUACUGCAGAUUUCAGGACUGCCCUGUCACUGUGGAUGUGGUGGUUUAUGAUGAAGAGACACUGAAAGCAGAAGUCGUUUUUAAAGGAGGUGAGGUCUGCCAUAAUAACAAAGAGCUGAAAAGGCAGCCUGUGUGUGCACAAUCACGUCAAAGUACUGGAGAACUCCUCAAAAACAAAUUACCAAGGAGCUUGUACUUGGAGUCUUUACAGAAAGUGCCACAAAAGCUGAUCCAACCUGGCAACAGGGAUGAUGCUCCAACAAAAGAAGUCUUGAAAAACAUUGCAUGGUCUGAAAGAAAAGCCAGUAGAGCAGAUCCCAACGAGUUGAUGAGCUUACAAAAGAUAAUUCAACAGUAUCAGGACACUGAAAAGGAUGUACUGCAGAAGAUUCUGAUGCAUCCAAAGGGCAUAAUGCUAUGGUCUAAGAAAACCUUGUCAGUUUUUCAUC
Long non-coding RNA from Oreochromis aureus, 1289 nucleotides. Lineage: Eukaryota; Metazoa; Chordata; Actinopteri; Cichliformes; Cichlidae. The record is from Ensembl.